This 1999-nucleotide long non-coding RNA is filed under the name Musa acuminata (dwarf banana). RNAcentral describes it as "long non-coding RNA (MACU_LNC004425)". The record is from RNAcentral. Lineage: Eukaryota; Viridiplantae; Streptophyta; Magnoliopsida; Zingiberales; Musaceae.
AAAUUUUAUAUACCACUGCUGCAGCUUGAAACAAAUCUGGUCAUACAACACACAAAGAUUCAGAUGAAAAAAUACAUACUCAAGUAUGAAUAAUAGUUUAAAAAGAAACAUAGAUUUGCCACUGGAUAUACAGUUGAACAAAACCUGUCGCAGACAAAUUAUCCUCAUUUUAGUUCAUAUGAGAAAGUGGAGCAGUCUAAUUAAACAUGGCUUCUGCCAGGCUGCCACUGCCAAUAACAGUUAGCAGUUCAUAUCUGUUCCGAUGGUAAGUGGCGACAACGGCAGUAGUUGACCCGUCCAUGCAAUGUGUGUGUGCAAGUCAACUAGAAGGAAGCAACGUUUUCCAACAUAUUUUCCAGAGACAGUUUCACUUGGGGAGGAACGAGAAGAUGGCAUACCGCCUUCCAACUAAGCCAUUUACCCUCCUCUUUAGAAGGGUGACCCUUAAGAAACCUGUAAGCACUGCUGGUAGUAAUUUCUCCUCUAGGUCACGGUCCAUAUCCACCUAUUAUAGGGUAGCAAUUGAUAUCUGUUAAUGAAUUGCUAAAUGAAUCAUUUUGUGUGCAUCUAGAAGUACAUGAGAGCGAGAACUAUCUUCUAACUCAGGUUGGACAUUGCUCAUAAUGUUCAUAAUUAAAAGGUUUUGCUGAUUAUGCUUAAUAAGACCAAAGAAUUGCAGCAUAAAAAAUUGCUAAAAUCCUAUAAAUAAGGGACUCUACGUUCUCACUUAAAGAACUUGCUGCAAGACUAGUAAAAGCACAAUGCAGAAAUUUUCAGAAAGAUAUUGUCAAUCAUGUAUCAUGAAAUAGCAUGGAUGUCUUAGAAUAUUGUCAUGCUAAUUUUAAUGACAACCAGAGUAAAGUUACAGCAGUGCACUAAUAAUUCCAAGAACAGCACACAGUGGUGGUACCAAUUACCCAACCAAACUUCUAUGUUUUUUAAGUUAAAUCUCCUAGUUACUAUUUUAAAUUUUAUAUAAUUAUAUUCAAUACUUACUCCAUUCACCUCUCUUUGGCCAAAUCUCCCCUCGGUUAAAACAAAAAAAAAGAGGCCACAAGAUAAACUAAUAAUUACACUUGGAUCUACAAAUGAUAAUAGUUAGCCACCUUUCAUGUGCUUUUCACUGUUUGCACUGCAACUUCAUUCCUUUAAUCUUUUGUUAUGCUUAUUUCCAAUAACUCAAUAUGUUGCAGAAGGUGCCUUCUAUGUACUUUUCACUGUUUGCACCACAACUUUAUUUCUUUUAUCUUCUUUAUUCUUUCUUCAACUACUUGUUGCCAAAAAUCCUUAAUAUGUUACAGAAGGUGCUGGUGUCUUUUUCCUACUAUUUGUUCCUUCAUCUCUGAGAAAGAGAGCCAAAAAGCUAUAUUAACUUAUGUAGUAAUGUCUAGAACUAUAAAUCUCAUGCAAUUGCAACAGCUAAAUUAUGUUACCUGAACAACAAAGGGAUGUGCUUGGUCAUUAGAAAAUUAAGGCAGUGCGCAAGUAGAAUCUUGCCAGAACUUUCAUUAAGGUUUACCACAAUCCACUCCCCAUUGGCUCUAAAACACAUCAUAAUCAAUCAGUAAUUGUGUAUUGAUCCUACUGUGUAUCAAAACUUUACCUCAACCGCUAUAAAUGUUUGGCUAUUAACUACUAUAAACUGUAGUCUAUUAACCUCAAACAGCAUAAUGUUUAAUAAAGCUCAAAACAGUGUUUCUGUCCAAGAUUAUAGUAGUUUCGCAACUCUCUUAUAAGUUAUAAAAGUCCAUAAAUAGAAUUCCAUGUACCAAACAACAUCAUCCUUCAAGCUCUAAAAUGUUCUUUCCAUGCAAAUAAGAAGUAUUCCCUUUCUCUAUGAUUUAAGUAUAGUAUCAAACUAGAUAUAAGCAUAGUAUCAAACUAGAUACAAAACGAGCAACUCCUUACUUCAAAGAAGUCAGCUUAUUUGAUUGUGGAAUCUCUUUGUUGGCAAAUCAUGACAAUGGCAACAGUGAUAAAAAAAAAAUCUUAGCCUACA